AUGGCCUGCCGGGGCUGUGAACACAUUGCAGUGCCCGAGGGCAGCAGCGUGGGCAACCUGUGCUCUCCUCACAUGAGUGAGCGGCGCGCGGUCCAGGGAUCUGAGCUGGCACGCUCAGCCAAACAGGUGUAUGAUGGGAAGAUGCGGGCUGUGAAGGGUGAAUUUUCUUACGUGGAGAAGCAGACCUCUGGUCACAUUCAGACACUGGACGGAAAGAGGAGAGGCAUUUAGUCCUGAUGGUUGAGAUAUGAGAGCUUGAAUAUUGCAUGACCUACAAGGAGAAGCCAAAGACGGUUUGAGUGCGAGGGAAGGAGGGGUGGAUGGAUGGAUGGAG
This 334-nucleotide long non-coding RNA is filed under the name Danio rerio (zebrafish). Its description in RNAcentral is "lncRNA (ENSDARG00000117819.1)". The record is from RNAcentral. Lineage: Eukaryota; Metazoa; Chordata; Actinopteri; Cypriniformes; Danionidae.